UCCUCCAGGCAAGAUGGGAAAUGGUAUAAAAGCAGUCGCUAUUCAGGGCUCCUCUAUCCACAUCUCCUCACCUCUCCAAUCCAGCGAACUGAGCCAACCUCCACUGCAGGAACAUGUCUUCCUACGGACAGCUCAUCAGCUCCCGCUGCUACAACCCCUGUGAGGUGACCUGCCCGCGGCCAUAUGCCGAUGCCUGGAACGAGCCCUGCGUGACAUCCUGCGGUGACUCCAGAGCCGUGGUCUACCCACCCCCAGUGGCCAUCACCUUCCCCGGACCCAUCCUUGCCUCGUGCCCCCAGGAGAGCUACGUGGGCACCUCAGAACCCCAGUGCAUUGGCGGCCCAUACACUGCCGGCGGCUACCUGGGGUACAGAGGCUCAGUGGGCACCGGGUACUCCUACCCCUCCUAUUCCCGUCAGCUCAACAGAUACCGCUAUGGGGGAUGCGGGCCAUGCUAAAGCAGCAGAAAUACCUGUGGCAGAAAAUAAUAGCCAAGAAAUGGGGAACAAGAUUCAGAUUCAUGAAUGAGCAGAGGGACAUUGUUUUCAGAGGUACAAUACACCCUCUGCUUCUCUUUGCUGUGGGCGCUGAAGGCACUCAGGAGCUCCGAAAAUCUUUCCAGUGCAUGAAAUUCUCUUUUCUGUAAUACUCCAUCUCUUUCUGAAUGCUAUCACUAUGUCCUUACUCAUGUAGCAGACCAGGUAGGAAAUCAUUCAAUACCCACUUUCCAAUGUCCAGAAUGAUGUAGAAGGGAGUUAACAGCAAUCACUAUGUGAAUGUGUAUGCCAAGGUGUGUAAUCAGUUUGUGGACUUUAGCUUUUAAGAAAAUGAAUAUCAACAUGUAAAGUGUAAAAUAGGAAAAGCUACUCAGUGCUUUCCUCAUAUAGGUCGUUUUCCUGACUCAAAGGGCUUAUUUUUCUGAAAAGUGGAAUUGUUGAAAUCUAGCACUGUGAGAAGAAAAGAAGACCAGCUUGUGUGCAUGCAGCUUCUUGGAGUGGAGGAUUGGUUGUAGACCUGUUUUGAUCUCUGGAAAUAUGUUGUUUCUCUUUCUCAUUCUUUGACUUUGAAAAUGUAUGUUUCUCUUCUCAUUCCCAUUAAAAGAAAUCAGAUUGCAUCCUAA
Long non-coding RNA from Alligator mississippiensis (American alligator), 1120 nucleotides. RefSeq lists it as uncharacterized. Lineage: Eukaryota; Metazoa; Chordata; Crocodylia; Alligatoridae. The record is from RefSeq and is a predicted model, not a curated record. The transcript is spliced from 2 exons.